Oryzias melastigma (Indian medaka) is the source of this 524-nucleotide long non-coding RNA. RefSeq lists it as uncharacterized. The record is from RefSeq and is a predicted model, not a curated record. NCBI's taxonomy places the organism in Eukaryota, Metazoa, Chordata, Actinopteri, Beloniformes, Adrianichthyidae. The transcript is spliced from 2 exons.
UUUGACAAAAAAUCGGACCAUCUUCAGUACAAGCUGACAUGAGCAGCAACUGCAGGGUGGGUUUCUGAUUUAUAGUGCUGCUCCGAGUCUCGAGUCCCUUCAGCACCCGGUCCCCUCCCGAACAGCUGGGUGGAACAUUUGAUCGGCACUGUGGAGGAAUUCUUAGAGGGGAGUCGUACGGGCCGAGACACCAGCGGUGCCUGUGUUUGAGGUGCAGCUCCUGGGCGCCACACGGAUGAGCUCAUGAAAUGCUAUGCUGUCCUCCUAGCCAAGGGUGGGGCGUGGAAGGUGAAAGGAAAGGCCACACUUGUCAUCAAUCAUGCAGGGUGAGCUGGGACCCCCUGCUCCUGGAUGAGCCCCACAGACAGGAGGAACAUGGGGCCAAGGCCAAAUUAAAGGCAUCAAGUGUCCCCCCUCCUUAGGGAAAGAAGAGCUUGGAUGUGUGAGCGUGGAGUUUGGAGAAUCACCUGAGAGAGAACAGGAAGUGAUGCUUGAAACGGAUUAAAAACAGAACUACCAAGUAA